UACGGAGGAUCCAAGCGUUAUCCGGAAUUACUGGGCGUAAAGAGUUGCGUAGGUGGCAUAGAAAGCAAAUAAUGAAAUCGUGUGGCUUAACUGCAUAAACAUUAUUUGAACUACUAAGCUAGAGAGCGAGAGAGGUAUCUGGAAUUCCCAGUGUAGGAGUGAAAUCCGUAGAUAUUGGGAAGAACACCGAUGGCGUAGGCAGGAUACUGGCUCGUUUCUGACACUAAGGCACGAAAGCGUGGGGAGCGAACGGGAUUAGAUACCCCGGUAGUCCACGCCGUAAACUAUGGAUGCUAGCUGUUAAAGGUAUCGACCCCUAUAGUAGCAAAGCUAACGCGUUAAGCAUCCCGCCUGUGGAGUACGGUCGCAAGACUAAAACAUAAAGGAAUUGACGGGGACCCGCACAAGCGGUGGAGCGUGUUGUUUAAUUCGAAAGUAAGCGAAGAACCUUACCCAGGCUUGACAUCCUGCGAAUUUCUCCGAAAGGAGAGAGUGCUUUAUUGAGCGCAGUGACAGGUGUUGCAUGGCCGUCGUCAGCUCGUGUCGUGAGAUGUUUGGUUAAGUCCAUCAACGAGCGCAACCCUUAUGUUUAGUUAAAUUUCUAGACAGACUGCCCUGGUAACAGGGAGGAAGGAGGGGAUGAUGUCUGGUCAGUAUUACCCUUACGUCUGGGGCUACAGACACGCUACAAUGGCCAGUAUAAAGGGCAGCUAAGUCGUGAGACGGAGCAAAUCCCAUCAAAACUGGUCUCAGUUCGGAUAGUAGGCUGAAACUCGCCUACUUGAAGUCGGAAUCGCUAGUAAUGGUAAGUCAGCAUAUUACCGUGAAUACGUUCCCGGGUCUUGUACACACCGCCCGUCAAGCCAUGAAAGUCACCAAUAUCUGACGUGCGAGCUUUGCCUCGCCCUAAGGUAGGGGGGAUGAUUGGGGUU
RNAcentral lists this ribosomal RNA (932 nucleotides) under uncultured bacterium. RNAcentral's name for it is "bacterial SSU rRNA". It matches the Rfam family "Bacterial small subunit ribosomal RNA", at positions 524 to 1482 of the family's 1533-position model. The record is from RNAcentral.